GAUCAAAAAGAAAAAUAACUGCAAAAAACAGGGCAACGAGAGAACAAAAAAAAGAGAUCUCCACAUCCAG
This 70-nucleotide long non-coding RNA is filed under the name Monodelphis domestica (gray short-tailed opossum). RNAcentral describes it as "lncRNA (ENSMODG00000033593.2)". The record is from RNAcentral. Lineage: Eukaryota; Metazoa; Chordata; Mammalia; Didelphimorphia; Didelphidae.